UAAUACGGAAGGUGCAAGCGUUGUCCGGAUCUACUGGGUGUAAAGGGCGUGUAGGCGGAGUGGUAUGUCAGAAGUGAAAUCGCACGGCUUAACCGUCGCAAGUGCUUCUGAAACUGCCACCCUUGAGGGCCAGAGAGGGAGAUGGAAUUCCCGGUGUAGCGGUGGAAUGCGUAGAUAUCGGGAGGAACACCCGUGGCGAAGGCGGUCUCCUGGCUGGCAACUGACGCUGAAACGCGAAAGUGUGGGGAGCAAACAGGAUUAGAUACCCUGGUAGUCCACACUGUAAACGAUGGUCACUAGGUGUUGGAGGAUUCGACCCCUUCAGUGCCGCCGCUAACGCAUUAAGUGACCCACCUGGGGAGUACGAUCGCAAGGUUG
This 378-nucleotide ribosomal RNA is filed under the name uncultured bacterium. RNAcentral describes it as "bacterial SSU rRNA". It matches the Rfam family "Bacterial small subunit ribosomal RNA", at positions 521 to 896 of the family's 1533-position model. The record is from RNAcentral.